UCCCAAAUAUACUAGCCGGUUAGGAGACGUGGGUUUUCACCCACGCGAGCCGGGUUCGGGCCCCGGUUUGGGAA
Molecule: non-coding RNA, 74 nt
Organism: Phytophthora infestans T30-4
Lineage: Eukaryota; Oomycota; Peronosporomycetes; Peronosporales; Peronosporaceae
Source: the annotation of a RefSeq genome assembly